CGUGUAGGCGGCCAGACAGGUCCCGUUGUGAAAACUCGAGGCUCAACCUCGAGACGGUCGAUGGAAACCGUCUGGCUAGAGUCCGGAAGAGGAGAGUGGAAUUCCUGGUCGUAGCGGUGAAAUGCGCAGAUAUCAGGAAGAACACCUAUGGCGAAGGCAGCUCUCUGGGACGGUACUGACGCUGAGCGCGAAAGCGUGGGAGCGAACA
Molecule: ribosomal RNA, 208 nt
Filed under: uncultured bacterium
Lineage: Bacteria
Description: partial 16S ribosomal RNA
Rfam family: Bacterial small subunit ribosomal RNA
Source: RNAcentral